RNAcentral lists this ribosomal RNA (426 nucleotides) under uncultured prokaryote. RNAcentral describes it as "bacterial SSU rRNA". It matches the Rfam family "Bacterial small subunit ribosomal RNA", at positions 355 to 796 of the family's 1533-position model. The record is from RNAcentral.
UGGGGAAUUUUCCGCAAUGGGCGAAAGCCUGACGGAGCAAUACCGCGUGAGGGAGGAAGGCUUUUGGGUUGUAAACCUCUUUUCUCAAGGAAGAAGAUCUGACGGUACUUGAGGAAUCAGCAUCGGCUAACUCCGUGCCAGCGGCCGCGGUAAUACGGAGGAUGCAAGCGUUAUCCGGAAUGAUUGGGCGUAAAGCGUCUGCAGGUGGCUAUGCAAGUCUGCUGUUAAAGAGUGGAGCUCAACUCCAUAAGGGCAGUGGAAACUGCGUAACUAGAGUACGUUCGGGGUAGAGGGAAUUCCUGGUGUAGCGGUGAAAUGCGUAGAUAUCAGGAAGAACACCAGUGGCGAAGGCGGCUUACUGGACCGGUAUUGACGCUGAGGUGCGAAAGCGUGGGGAGCGAACAGGAUUAGAUACCCGUGUAGUCC